This 68-nucleotide transfer RNA is filed under the name Marmota monax (woodchuck). Its description in RNAcentral is "tRNA.Ala". It matches the Rfam family "tRNA". From Rfam's summary of the family: Transfer RNA (tRNA) molecules are approximately 80 nucleotides in length. Their secondary structure includes four short double-helical elements and three loops (D, anti-codon, and T loops). The record is from RNAcentral. Lineage: Eukaryota; Metazoa; Chordata; Mammalia; Rodentia; Sciuridae.
GGUAUGUAGCUCACUGGUAGAGCACUUGCCUAGCAUGCUUGAGGUCCUGGGUUCCAUUCCCAGCACCA